This 73-nucleotide transfer RNA is filed under the name Gadus morhua (Atlantic cod). Its description in RNAcentral is "tRNA-Lys (TTT) (tRNA-Lys-TTT-5-1)". It matches the Rfam family "tRNA". From Rfam's summary of the family: Transfer RNA (tRNA) molecules are approximately 80 nucleotides in length. Their secondary structure includes four short double-helical elements and three loops (D, anti-codon, and T loops). Further hydrogen bonds mediate the characteristic L-shaped molecular structure. tRNAs have two regions of fundamental functional importance: the anti-codon, which is responsible for specific mRNA codon recognition, and the 3' end, to which the tRNAs corresponding amino acid is attached (by aminoacyl-tRNA synthetases). tRNAs cope with the degeneracy of the genetic code in two manners: having more than one tRNA (with a specific anti-codon) for a particular amino acid; and 'wobble' base-pairing, i.e. permitting non-standard base-pairing at the 3rd anti-codon position. The record is from RNAcentral. Lineage: Eukaryota; Metazoa; Chordata; Actinopteri; Gadiformes; Gadidae.
GCCUGGAUAGCUCAGCCGGUAGAGCAUCAGACUUUUAAUCUGAGGGUUCAGGGUUCAAGUCCCUGUUCAGGCG